GACGAACGCUGGCGGCGUGCCUAAUACAUGCAAGUUGAGCGCUGAAGGUUGGUACUUGUACCAACUGGAUGAGCAGCAAACGGGUGAGUAACGCGUGGGGAAUCUGCCUUUGAGCGGGGGACAACAUUUGGAAACGAAUGCUAAUACCGCAUAAAAACUUUAAACACAAGUUUUAAGUUUGAAAGAUGCAAUUGCAUCACUCAAAGAUGAUCCCGCGUUGUAUUAGCUAGUUGGUGAGGUAAAGGCUCACCAAGGCGAUGAUACAUAGCCAACCUGAGAGGGUGAUCGGCCACAUUGGGACUGAGACACGGCCCAAACUCCUACGGGAGGCAGCAGUAGGGAAUCUUCGGCAAUGGACGAAAGUCUGACCGAGCAACGCCGCGUGAGUGAAGAAGGUUUUCGGAUCGUAAAACUCUGUUGGUAGAGAAGAACGUUGGUGAGAGUGGAAAGCUCAUCAAGUGACGGUAACUACCCAGAAAGGGACGGCUAACUACGUG
RNAcentral lists this ribosomal RNA (497 nucleotides) under uncultured bacterium. RNAcentral's name for it is "partial 16S ribosomal RNA". It matches the Rfam family "Bacterial small subunit ribosomal RNA", at positions 28 to 507 of the family's 1533-position model. The record is from RNAcentral.